This 274-nucleotide ribosomal RNA is filed under the name uncultured bacterium. RNAcentral describes it as "partial 16S ribosomal RNA". It matches the Rfam family "Archaeal small subunit ribosomal RNA", at positions 473 to 747 of the family's 1478-position model. The record is from RNAcentral.
AAACCAGCACCUCAAGUGGUCAGGAGGAUUAUUGGGCCUAAAGCAUCCGUAGCCUGCUCUGUAAGUUUUCGGUUAAAUCUGUACGCUCAACGUACAGGCUGCCGGGAAUACUGCAGAGCUAGGGAGUGGGAGAGGUAGACGGUACUCGGGAGGAAGGGGUAAAAUCCUUUGAUCUCUCGAUGACCACCUGUGGCGAAGGCGGUCUACCAGAACACGUUCGACGGUGAGGGAUGAAAGCUGGGGGAGCAAACCGGAUUAGAAACCCCAGUAGUCC